CGCGCCGUUGGUUGGUGCGGCGUGACGGGGCGUGGCGCGGGCGGCGCCGUUGGUUGGGGCGCGGCUGGAGGGCGCGGCGCUGGUGUCGCCGAUGGAUGGGCACGACCGGCCCGGCCAGUUCAUGGCGUUGCUGCUGUGCCUGGGCAUGACAGCGGCGCUGGCCCUGGGCUGCCUGCACUGCGACCCCAAUUUCUCGAAUAAGUUCUCCUUCUACCGCCACCACGUGAACCUCAAGUCCUGGUGGGUUGGUGACAUCCCCGUGUCGGGAGUGCUGCUCACCGAGUGGAGCCAGAACACGAUGAAGGAACUACACCUGGCCAUCCCCGCCGAGAUCACCCGGGAGAAGCUGGAUCAAGUGGCAGGAGCCGUGUACCAGAGGAUGGACCAGCUGUACCAGGGCAAGAUGUACUUCCCAGGGUAUUUCCCCAAUGAGCUGCGGGCCAUCUUUCGGGAGCAAGUGCGCCUCAUCCAGAACGCCAUCAUAGAGAGCCGCAUCGACUGUCAGCGUCACUGUGGCAUCUUCCAGUAUGAGACCAUCUCCUGCGUCAACUGCACAGACUCACGUGUUGUCUGCUUUGGUUACUACUGCAAGUAUGCCUUAGCCACCUAUCCCACAGCCCUGGGGUCCUGGGCUUUGGGAAUACCCCACCAGCAAGCCUUGUGUUCCCCCAGGUCAUCAACACAGUGGCAGUCAGCUGUGCAGGGUCUUCUGAGUUACAUAAAUACCUGGCACAAGUAAGUUCCUGUUCAAAUCCAUCUCCAGUUUUAUCCAAGACAGUGUGUGUAUGUAUGUACCUUAUGGUGAGAUUUUGAAGCUUGCAUAGACCCAGGAGGACUUUGCCCCCUCCCCCUUGAGGGUUUCUAAGCUCAUCUGGCGGAAGGGGGCAGACCAUCCUGGCUGAAGGGUCUUCAUGAAGUCUAGGGUUACCAAGUUGAUGGCGAACCCGGAGGGUCUAAUCGCUGCCCUGUUCUAUUUUAGUCAGGAUACAAGCACGAGAACCACCCCAGCCUUGUGAGUGACCCAAGGAAUAAGGCAACAAAGAAGCAGGUGGCCUGGGGGGAGAAAGAACUCCAAAAUCAAGUGACCUCUUUGCCACAGAUCCUCGCAUAUCCUACUAAGGCCAUCAUUGUGGGUGUUGGGGAGGGUGGGUAACCCCAACACUCUUUAGGCCUUAAGAACAGGCAGGAAGCAAACCAAAACAAAAAGACAGGGGCUGGAUUUAGUAGUGCAUACCUAUUAAUCCCAGCCUUCUAGGAAGCCUCUGAGACAGGAGAUCUCAAGUAGAGGGUCAACUUGAACUAUAUUAAUGGGUCAUGAAGAGAGGCCUGGGAAGGGAGGCAGGAGGGAAUAAACAGACAAAUGGGCUCAGGGCACCUCUUCCUCCUCCCCUGAAGCCUUUCACCAAGCAUAAGGUGUCUGGAAGUGCAGCACUUGUUGAACCUGACUUUGGAAAACGCCUCUGAGUGUCUGACCCAGCAUUGAUGGCGCUGCUCAGCCCCAGUAUUAGCGGGGGCCAAGACUCAGCUACACUGUUGCCUGUUCCUCUAGGAGAGGCCAGCUGCUACCUGCCUCUGGUCACCCCAUGGAGCCCAGGCUGGGCCGGGGCUGGGGAAGCAGGGAGAUGGGCUUGUGUAUAGAUGGUGGGACCCCUGGGCAGGGCCCCCAGAGAUAUUUUGAUUAAAGUGUCCUGACAUUUCUCAUGAUGAACAAUUCUUUUCUGCCAGAUCUGGCUGGGUAUUUGAUGUAGCUGGAGGCAUGGGCUUUUCUUGAACACGUGUGGGUGUGGAGGAUCUACUCACAGGGAGGGAGGGAUCCAACAACUUGGCUGGCAUCUGCAGCAUCUUCCUCAGGAUCCAGGGACUCUGAUUUAUUCCAGUCCUUUUGAGUUCUUAUGGGCUGAUUUGCAGAGGGGCUGUUCUGUUCUUGUUGACGCAGGAGCAUGCCACAUAGCAGAAGCCCUUAUUACAUUCUCCCUGCCUCCAUUUCCUUAUUGCUGCGAUGACAGGUGUGCAACCUGGCUUGUAUUAAUGGAGCCCAGUCCUGCCCCUCCACUGCUUUGAGAUUAAAGUCUGUCUGUAGCCCAGGCUCACCUUGACCUAUUACCUCAGCCUCAGGGUGGGAUGCACAGUGGGGUGAAAGCUGGGCCAGAUUACUGUCUGGGAUUUCAUCUUGGAAGACCUAGGUCAGAAGAGACAGGUGGGCCACACUCCUCAGAGCACCUGGCAGCAGGUGACCAGAGCCCAGCUGGCUGUCUCGGCUGAGAAAUGGCUGAGUAGGGCUGGCUGUCUGGGCUGGGAGAUGACUGAUGCAGGAGACUCAGGGACUUCUGCUUCUACCUGGUUUCCUUGUUGUCUUCAGUCUCCUGGCCCCAGUGAUAGGCGCACACCUCUCUGUACAUCCCUACAGUUUUUGCUCCUAGGAGCAGCUGCAGGUUAGCCGGGAGGCUGCAUUUUACAAGAAAUACCAAGUGGUAGCAUCUAAAGUCCGUCCUUCCUCCUAAGGGACCAGGACACAGAGCAGGGACACUGGAUGUUUUGUUGGGAGCUCAAGCCGCACUCUUGCCAGUCACCAACCACAAGCAGUGGUCACUCUGUACACUUAGCGACUGCUGACCAUAUCGCUUCUGGGUCCUGGGCAGGGUUGGCAGGAUGCUUAGAACAGCAGAGUGCUGUGCCUCAGAGGCCUGGGUUUGGAAUUUAAGCUGUUGACAGGGCUCAGAGUCUGCUGGAUGACAAAGCUGACUUCUUUGCU
This is an RNA transcript of Alexandromys fortis (reed vole), 2752 nucleotides long. It is a transcript of the gene named IZUMO family member 4, with no coding region annotated. The record is from RefSeq and is a predicted model, not a curated record. The transcript has 7 exons. NCBI's taxonomy places the organism in Eukaryota, Metazoa, Chordata, Mammalia, Rodentia, Cricetidae.